GACGAACGCUGGCGGCGUGCCUAAUACAUGCAAGUUGAGCGCUGAAGGUUGGUACUUGUACCAACUGGAUGAGCAGCGAACGGGUGAGUAACGCGUGGGGAAUCUGCCUUUGAGCGGGGGACAACAUUUGGAAACGAAUGCUAAUACCGCAUAAAAACUUUAAACACAAGUUUUAAGUUUGAAAGAUGCAAUUGCAUCACUCAAAGAUGAUCCCGCGUUGUAUUAGCUAGUUGGUGAGGUAAAGGCUCACCAAGGCGAUGAUACAUAGCCGACCUGAGAGGGUGAUCGGCCACAUAGGGACUGAGACACGGCCCAAACGCCUACGGGAGGCAGCAGUAGGGAAUCUUCGGCAAUGGACGAAAGUCUGACCGAGCAACGCCGCGUGAGUGAAGAAGGUUUUCGGAUCGUAAAAAUCUGUUGAUAGAGAAGAACGUUGGUGAGAGUGGAAAGCUCAUCAAGUGACGGUAACUACCCAGAAAGGGACGGCUAACUACGUG
RNAcentral lists this ribosomal RNA (497 nucleotides) under uncultured bacterium. RNAcentral describes it as "partial 16S ribosomal RNA". It matches the Rfam family "Bacterial small subunit ribosomal RNA", at positions 28 to 507 of the family's 1533-position model. The record is from RNAcentral.